UACAGAGGUCCCAAGCGUUGUUCGGAUUCACUGGGCGUAAAGGGUGCGUAGGCGGUCGGGUAAGUCUGAUGUGAAAUCUCACAGCUUAACUGUGAAACUGCAUUGGAUACUAUCCGGCUCGAGGAAUGGAGGGGAGACUGGAAUACUCGGUGUAGCAGUGAAAUGCGUAGAUAUCAAGUGGAACACCAGUGGCGAAGGCGAGUCUCUGGACAUUUCCUGACGCUGAGGCACGAAAGCCAGGGGAGCAAACGGG
Molecule: ribosomal RNA, 253 nt
Filed under: uncultured bacterium
Lineage: Bacteria
Description: partial 16S ribosomal RNA
Rfam family: Bacterial small subunit ribosomal RNA
Source: RNAcentral